RNAcentral lists this long non-coding RNA (1043 nucleotides) under Physcomitrium patens. RNAcentral describes it as "long non-coding RNA (PPAT_LNC014534)". The record is from RNAcentral. Lineage: Eukaryota; Viridiplantae; Streptophyta; Bryopsida; Funariales; Funariaceae.
CAAAAAAGACAAAAAAUGUUAUAUGGAGAAGACUGAUUACCAACCCGGGUCAAAAUCAGACCCUCAAGCACAAAACCAAGCUUCAAUAAUGAUUCUAGGAUUCUUUAGUUGAUUGGGAGUGGAAUUGAAGAAAAGACUUGAUAGAAUUUUUAUGAACAUUCAUUUUGAGGGAUUUGGUUCAAUAAUGACUUUGUAAGAGCUUUGCAAAGUUGAUGUUGUUUUCAAUGACAUUGAUUUUUGGAAAAUAAAAUAGGAUUGAUGUUUUGGGCAAUUUUAGGAGUUUAGUAAUAGAUCUACUACUGAAAUUUUUUGGAUUUGUAGAUGAAGUUGUACUUGAUGUAUGUUAUGAAUUUGGGUUUGAUUAAAUAAUAAGAUUGAAAAGCAUGAAGGUUUUUGUGGAUUAAGGUCUUGGAAUUCUUGGAUUUUGAAGACCAGUGAGGUUUUCUUAGAUAUCUAUCAAUCCGCCAAUUAAAUUGAGGCAAAUUUUUUUCACAAAAGUAGUCAACUUAAUUUCUAAUAAGUAUAUAAAUUUUAGAAGCAAAGUAAUGGUUUAAUUAGGAAUAAUUGGCUUUAGGAAAUUAACAUCCAAGUCGGAGAAGGAGGCCAAGCAAUAUCCAAGGACAUUUUUAAGGUUAUCGUCUAUUUGGUUUUUUUGAUCUUUUUUAAUUUUUUUUGUACUUUUUUUCAACUUAAUUUUUAGAAGUGUCCAAAAUUUAAGUUAAAAUCAAAAAUUUAUUUAUUAAUUAUUGGAGUUUAAAUUUAUUAUAUGAAUUACUUGAAAUUUAUUAAGGUUUGAUUUAAGGAUUUGGUUUAGGAUUAGGAUUAGGAUUUUAGAUUGAUUUAAGGUUUGUUUAGGAUUAGGAUUUUAUUAAAAUUAGAAUUAGGACUUUGGAUUUGUUUUAAGGUUUGAUUCAAUCUUAAAUUAGGUUUAGGAUUUCAUUAGGCUUUGAGUAGAGUUUGUCUAGGAUUUGGUUAGGUUUAUUUACGAUUUGAUUAGGUUUAUUUAGGAUUUGAUUAGGAUUCAAUUAAGAUUUAACUAGGAU